AACGAACGCUGGCGGCAUGCCUAACACAUGCAAGUCGAACGAGACCUUCGGGUCUAGUGGCGCACGGGUUCGUAACGCGUGGGAACCUUCCCUUAUGUUCGGAAUAACUCCCCGAAAGGGGUGCUAAUACCGGAUAAUGUCUUCGGACCAAAGAUUUAUCGCCUUUGGAUGGUCCCGCGUUGGAUUAGCUAGUUGGUAGGGUAAAAGCCUACCAAGGCGACGAUCCAUAGCUGGUCUGAGAGGAUGAUCAGCCACACUGGGACUGAGACACGGCCCAGACUACUACGGGAGGGAGCAGUGGGGAAUAUUGGAAAAUGGGCGAAAGCAUGAUCCAGCAAUGCCGCGUGAGUGAUGAAGGCAUUAGGGUUGUAAAGCUCUUUUACACGGGAUGAUAAUGACAGUAACGGGAGAAUAAGCUCCGGCUAACUACGUG
RNAcentral lists this ribosomal RNA (433 nucleotides) under uncultured bacterium. RNAcentral's name for it is "partial 16S ribosomal RNA". It matches the Rfam family "Bacterial small subunit ribosomal RNA", at positions 29 to 507 of the family's 1533-position model. The record is from RNAcentral.